RNAcentral lists this ribosomal RNA (440 nucleotides) under uncultured bacterium. Its description in RNAcentral is "partial 16S ribosomal RNA". It matches the Rfam family "Bacterial small subunit ribosomal RNA", at positions 338 to 795 of the family's 1533-position model. The record is from RNAcentral.
CCUACGGGAGGCAGCAGUGGGGAAUAUUGCACAAUGGGGGAAACCCUGAUGCAGCGACGCCGCGUGAGUGAAGAAGUAUUUCGGUAUGUAAAGCUCUAUCAGCAGGGAAGAAAAUGACGGUACCUGAUUAAGAAGCCACGGCUAACUACGUGCAAGCAGCCGCGGUAAUACGUAGGGCGCAAGCGUUAGCCGGAUUUACUGGGUGGAAAGGGAGCGUAGACGGCAGGACAAGUCUGGAGUGAAAUGCCGGGGCUUAACCCCGGAACUGCUUUGGAAACUGUGCAGCUAGAGUGCAGGAGAGGUAAGUGGAAUUCCUAGUGUAGCGGUGAAAUGCGUAGAUAUUAGGAGGAACACCAGUGGCGAAGGCGGCUUACUGGACUGUAACUGACGUUGAGGCUCGAAAGCGUGGGGAGCAAACAGGAUUAGAUACCCUUGUAGUC